GAUGUCCUACGGGGGGCAGCAGUGAGGAAUAUUGGUCAAUGGGCGGGAGCCUGAACCAGCCAAGUCGCGUGAGGGAUGACGGCCCUAUGGGUUGUAAACCUCUUUUGCCGGGGAGCAAAGUGCCGCACGUGUGCGGAUUGGAGAGUACCCGGAGAAAAAGCAUCGGCUAACUCCGUGCCAGCAGCCGCGGUAAUACGGAGGAUGCGAGCGUUAUCCGGAUUUAUUGGGAUUAAAGGGUGCGUAGGCGGACGCUUAAGUCAGCGGUAAAAUUGCGGGGCUCAACCUCUUCGUGCCGUUGUAACUGG
Molecule: ribosomal RNA, 305 nt
Filed under: uncultured bacterium
Lineage: Bacteria
Description: bacterial SSU rRNA
Rfam family: Bacterial small subunit ribosomal RNA
Source: RNAcentral